Molecule: ribosomal RNA, 440 nt
Filed under: uncultured bacterium
Lineage: Bacteria
Description: partial 16S ribosomal RNA
Rfam family: Bacterial small subunit ribosomal RNA
Source: RNAcentral
CCUACGGGAGGCAGCAGUGGGGAAUAUUGCACAAUGGGGGAAACCCUGAUGCAGCGACGCCGCGUGAGUGAAGAAGUAUCUCGGUAUGUAAAGCUCUAUCAGCAGGGAAGAAAAUGACGGUACCUGACUAAGAAGCCCCGGCUAACUACGUGCCAGCAGCCGCGGUAAUACGCAGGGGGCAACCGUUAUCCGGAUUUACUGGGUGUAAAGGGAGCGUAUACGGUGCUGCAAGUCCGGAGUGAAAGCCUAUGGCUUAACCAUAGUACUGCUGUUGAUACUGGGGAGCUUGAGUUCGGGAGAGGUAGGCGGAAUUCGUGGUGUAGCGGUGAAAUGCGUAGAUAUUAGGAAGAACACCGACGGCGAAGGCAGCCUGCUGGACCGUAACUGACGUUGAGGCUCGAAAGCGUGGGGAGCAAACAGGAUUAGAUACCCCAGUAGUC